AUUUGAAAUCUAGUACCCCUGGGUGCUCGAGUUGUAAUUUGGAGAGGCAACUUCGGGGAGGGCGUUGGCCUAUGUUCCUUGGAACAGGAUGUCAUAGAGGGUGAGAAUCCCGUGCUUGGCCAACUGUCCCACCCCAUGUGAAGUGUCUUCGACGAGUCGAGUUGUUUGGGAAUGCAGCUCAAAAUGGGUGGUAAACUCCAUCUAAGGCUAAAUAUUGGCGAGAGACCGAUAGCGCACAAGUAGAGUGAUCGAAAGAUGAAAAGCACUUUGAAAAGAGAGUUAAAAAGUACGUGAAAUUGUUGAAAGGGAAGCGCUUGAGACCAGACACAGUGGUUGGUGAUCAGUGGUGGCUUUCAGCCCCAUGCACUUGCCUACCACUGGGCCAGCAUCAGUUAUGGCGGUGGGAUAAAGGUUGAGGGAAUGUGGCUCCCUUCGGGGAGUGUUAUAGCCCUUGACGCAAUGCCACCUGCUUUGAUUGAGGACCGCGCUUCGGCUAGGAUGCUGGCAUAAUGGUCUUCAGCGACCCGUCUUGAAACACGGACCAAGGAGUCUAACAUCUAUGCAAGUGUUCGGGUGUAAAACCCCUACGCGUAAUGAAAGUGAACGGAGGUGGGAACCUUUUAGGUGCACCAUCGACCGAUCCUGAUGUCUUCGGAUGGAUUUGAGUAAGAGCAUAGCUGUUGGGACCCGAAAGAUGGUGAACUAUGCCUGAAUAGGGUGAAGCCAGAGGAAACUCUGGUGGAGGCUCGCAGCGGUUCUGACGUGCAAAUCGAUCGUCAAAUUUGGGUAUAGGGGCGAAAGACUAAUCGAA
RNAcentral lists this ribosomal RNA (811 nucleotides) under Pseudoplectania sp. Its description in RNAcentral is "partial large subunit ribosomal RNA". It matches the Rfam family "Eukaryotic large subunit ribosomal RNA", at positions 113 to 939 of the family's 3401-position model. Lineage: Eukaryota; Fungi; Ascomycota; Pezizomycetes; Pezizales; Sarcosomataceae. The record is from RNAcentral.